Molecule: long non-coding RNA, 1119 nt
Organism: Poeciliopsis prolifica (blackstripe livebearer)
Lineage: Eukaryota; Metazoa; Chordata; Actinopteri; Cyprinodontiformes; Poeciliidae
Exons: 3
Source: RefSeq, a predicted model, not a curated record
UUUUGUAAAGAAAAACACAAUAAUAUUUUGUUCAUUUACCAGUAUGAUAUUGUAUAAUGUAGAACCGAAAAUUAUUGUACAUUUUAAAAUAGAAAAUUGUAAAUAAUAUUGUAUUUAGUUGUAGAAAAUACACAUUUUUUAUUGUUAAUGAAAAAAGUUGUAUCCUUCACAACAUUCUUACAUUUCAGCAGUGUAAAACUAACAUUUACAUUCUGUGAUGAUUAAAUCCAAAUGAAUUGGAAGCUAGCUUAGCUUUUUUUUGCUAGGGAGAAGUAAGUUUGGGCUUCCUUGUUUAAGCUGUUGCCCCUGUGACCCAACUCCAGAUGGACAAUAAAAUAAAUGAAUAAAUUAAUAGAUUUGGAAAUUAAUGUGGAAUUAAGUAAUUAUGAUUCCACAUUAUUUACUUCCAAUUUUGUUCACUAUUUAUCUAUUCACUUGUGUUUUCCCACUUCUUUAGAUUGUCAUUUCCUCUUUAAUUCAUUUACUUAUUAUUUGUCAAUUUUGAUUGGAUAAUUUCUUCAUAUUUCACGACUAACGUGGAGGAAACACCUGAAUCAAAAAAGAAUUCAUGUACUUGCUUAUUGGUACAUGUAUUUUAUUUUUAUUUAUUAUUUUUGCUAACACUGGAUUUUUUACCUUCACCGUUGCCAUUAUAAGCUCAAAGUUCGGCUACUGCAAGAAAGACAGAGAUCACCGCUUUGUGCUCAAGUUCCGGUCUGUUCUGCUCUCUAAUUGGUUCGCUUACCUGCUCUCUAAUUGGUUCGCUUACCUGGCGCCUGAAAGCUGUUUUGAAAAAGUUCGUCCAACGGUUCUCAUCUCAGAAGAAGCUGAAUUGUGCUCAAACCUUGACAAAGAAAAGAACGCUGUUUGGACCUCGUCAGCUUUCAGCAAAUCGAACCCCUGCAGCUUACAAUUUGGCAGUGCAUCAUCGAGAGAUUGGAAGCAUUCAAGACAACAAAGGUGUCAAGAAAUGGCUGAGCAAACAUUUUUACGCAGUGCUAUCAAUGAAGUGUUGCCCGAACUUGCAGAGGCUUCAAAAGACAUUCUCGAGGAGACUUUACAGUCAAUUGGAGUAGAAAACGUAUGAUGACUUCCAGUUCAUUGUUGAGAAGGACUUGC